UACGUAGGGGGCGAGCGUUGUCCGGAUUUAUUGGGCGUAAAGAGCUCGUAGGCGGCUGUUCGAGUCGGGUGUGAAAUCCUGAGGCUUAACCUUGGGUCUGCAUUCGAUACUGGGCGGCUUGAGUCUGGUAGGGGGAUCUGGAAUUCCUGGUGUAGCGGUGGAAUGCGCAGAUAUCAGGAGGAACACCGGUGGCGAAGGCGGGAUCCUGGGCCGUACCUGACGCUAAAGCGCGACAGCAUGGGGAGCAAACGGG
Molecule: ribosomal RNA, 253 nt
Filed under: uncultured bacterium
Lineage: Bacteria
Description: partial 16S ribosomal RNA
Rfam family: Bacterial small subunit ribosomal RNA
Source: RNAcentral